AUCAAGACCACGAAAACAAUCGCGGUGACUGCGAAGGACUCGCUCACUCAUCGGUGAGACUGAGAGAAUAAUUUCUUCAAGAAACACAAGCAGGAGCAGAUGGGAUGAAAUGGACAAGUUCUGAAGGAGACAACAUUUUAGGGCCCUCACGAUGGGGAAGGGGGCCAAGGAAAAUGGGAGAGAUGCUGACUGUCACCACAAUGCACACGAAUCAGAAUGUGCCCCUGGCGAGGAAUGGGGGCAAAGUCAACAGGAAUUAAAUUUCCGUGCAACUGUUUACUCAACUGUGGCCUGCAGUUAUUGAAAUUUUAUCCGUGGUUUUGUGUGACUCCCGCAGUAAUGAAUUCAGCAUGGCUGUGAUGGUCUCACCGCUGGUACUCUCACUUCAAGUAAAAACCUGGAGGAUAAAAAUGACGAAAACAACCCGAGAACAUCAUGUUGACACUCAGAUCUCCCCAAAUGGUUUAAUUGUUGCCUUUUCCAGGCUGGAAGAAGACGCAGACAACUCUCGUCCUGUGAACCUUUUGCAAUCCUGUGUAUUUUUCUUAUUUCAUCUACAGGUUUUGCUUUCCCCUCAAAUCCUGUUAAGAACCUUAUCGUCCAUGUAUGGGGGUCAAACAGCUGUCACUAUUUUAUUUUAUAAGAAGGGAGAGGUCUGCCAACCACAGUAUAUAGGGUUUUAGCCACAAGGAUAGCCCCAACUGCUUGCUUGCUUUCCAAAACAUAUCAAUGGAAAACAGAUAUAAAAUGCCUAAAAAAAUCUUAAAAAAGAAUUUCAAAAUAUAACCAAAAGCUACUGACCUUUGUAUCAAUAAGUCAUACAUUACUACACAUUUUCCGAAGCACACAUGGCCACGAUAAAGGGUGCAGACAUGAAUGACUAAUUUUGCUACUGAUGCUUUUUAGGGAAGAUACUAUUAAAAUGCACUUUUAUAACUUCCUUCUGGUGAGGCCACUUAUUGCAUUAGAAAUGUGUAUGUGUGUGCACACGCACACAUACAUGUGUAUUGAUGGUAUACCUGUACAGUUUUUGGCUGGCUUACUACUUUGAGAUUAUGAAUGAUUUUCAGUUCUUCAAA
This is a non-coding RNA of Manis javanica (Malayan pangolin), 1079 nucleotides long. The record is from RefSeq and is a predicted model, not a curated record. Lineage: Eukaryota; Metazoa; Chordata; Mammalia; Pholidota; Manidae.